This 297-nucleotide small nuclear RNA is filed under the name Erinaceus europaeus (western European hedgehog). RNAcentral's name for it is "7SK RNA". It matches the Rfam family "7SK RNA". Rfam says of the family: 7SK was discovered as an abundant small nuclear RNA in the mid-70s but a possible function has only recently been suggested. Two independent studies have found that 7SK RNA binds the CDK9/cyclin T complex (known as elongation factor P-TEFb). The record is from Rfam by way of RNAcentral. Lineage: Eukaryota; Metazoa; Chordata; Mammalia; Eulipotyphla; Erinaceidae.
GGAUGUAAGGGCGAUCUGGCUGCGACAUCUGAUUGACCCAUUGAUCGCCAGGGUUGAUUUGGCUGAUCUGGCUGGCUAGGUGGGUGUCCCCUUCCUCCCUCACCGCUCCAUAUGCGUCCCUCUCAAAGCUGCGCACUCUGUCGAAGACGACGGCCUUCCCCAGAUAGAGACGGACUGGUCUUUGGCCGAGGGUAUAUGAGUAGCUGCGCUCCCCUGCUAGAACCUCCAAACAAGAUCUCAAGAAGGGAAGGCAAGAUAGGGAGGGGGAAAGGAAGAGAGACACGUGUAACACUGAUU